This 254-nucleotide ribosomal RNA is filed under the name uncultured bacterium. RNAcentral describes it as "partial 16S ribosomal RNA". It matches the Rfam family "Bacterial small subunit ribosomal RNA", at positions 524 to 776 of the family's 1533-position model. The record is from RNAcentral.
UACAGAGGUCUCAAGCGUUGUUCGGAUUCAUUGGGCGUAAAGGGUGCGUAGGCGGCGCGGUAAGUCGGGUGUGAAAUCUCGGAGCUUAACUCCGAAACUGCAUUCGAUACUGCCGUGCUUGAGGACUGGAGAGGAGACUGGAAUUUACGGUGUAGCGGUGAAAUGCGUAGAUAUCGUAAGGAAGACCAGUGGCGAAGGCGGGUCUCUGGACAGUUCCUGACGCUGAGGCACGAAGGUCAGGGGGAGCAAAUGGG